GUAGGCAAACGCCAUCCUUAAGAUGUUGUCAGGCCCUGCGUGGUAGGCAAUUGUCGACACUUAGACCUUGUCAGGCCCUUCGUGGUAGGCAAGUGUCAUCCUUAAGACAUUGUCAGGCCCUGCGUGGUAGGCAAUUGUCGACACUUAGACCUUGUCAGGCCCUUCGUGGUAGGCAAGUGUCAUCCUUAAGACAUUGUCAGGCCCUGCGUGGUAGGCAAUUGUCGACACUUAGACCUUGUCAGGCCCUUCGUGGUAGGCAAGUGUCAUCCUUAGACUUUGUCAGGCCCUUCGUGGUAGGCAAAUGUCAUCUCUUGGUUUUGUUAGGCCUUUCGGGGUAAACAAAUUCCUAAUGAAGCAGAUCUGUCUCACACUUCGGUAACUAAUGAGUAUCCCUUUACUUUAUUACCUAAA
RNAcentral lists this long non-coding RNA (411 nucleotides) under Panax ginseng (ginseng). RNAcentral's name for it is "long non-coding RNA (PGIN_LNC012121)". The record is from RNAcentral. Lineage: Eukaryota; Viridiplantae; Streptophyta; Magnoliopsida; Apiales; Araliaceae.